RNAcentral lists this ribosomal RNA (400 nucleotides) under uncultured bacterium. Its description in RNAcentral is "bacterial SSU rRNA". It matches the Rfam family "Bacterial small subunit ribosomal RNA", at positions 359 to 776 of the family's 1533-position model. The record is from RNAcentral.
GAAUCUUGGACAAUGGGGGCAACCCUGAUCCAGCCAUGCCGCGUGAGUGAUGAAGGCCUUCGGGUUGUAAAACUCUUUCGCGCACGACGAUAAUGACGGUAGUGCGAGAAGAAGCUCCGGCUAACUUCGUGCCAGCAGCCGCGGUAAUACGAAGGGGGCUAGCGUUGUUCGGAAUUACUGGGCGUAAAGCGCGCGCAGGCGGCUUUUCAAGUCGGUGGUGAAAUCCCAAAGCUCAACUUUGGAAUUGCCAUCGAAACUGUAAAGCUUGGGUACGGGAGAGGUGAGUGGAAUUCCGAGUGUAGAGGUGAAAUUCGUAGAUAUUCGGAAGAACACCAGUGGCGAAGGCGGCUCACUGGCCCGUUACCGACGCUCAGGCGCGACAGCGUGGGGAGCAAACAGG